Non-coding RNA from Pantherophis guttatus, 252 nucleotides. The record is from RefSeq and is a predicted model, not a curated record. NCBI's taxonomy places the organism in Eukaryota, Metazoa, Chordata, Lepidosauria, Squamata, Colubridae.
CUGGCUCAAGGUUGACUCAGCCUUUCUAAAGCACUGUGAAGCUAUGUAUAUAAGUCUAAGUGGUAAUGCUGUCAGAGAAAUUAAGAACACUGAAGGCAAUUUUGUGAGCUCCAUUUCCCCAAGACAACAGAUGGUCUUGAACCAGCCAAAGAUACAUAGGAAACAAGUUCAAGAUCAUGCGCAUGAAGCACAGCCUUCUCUUUAACAUCAGAGAUCCUAUUGCAUGUUGGACAUGGAAAGCCAGAGCAGAAU